Brassica rapa (field mustard) is the source of this 9693-nucleotide long non-coding RNA. RefSeq lists it as uncharacterized. The record is from RefSeq and is a predicted model, not a curated record. Lineage: Eukaryota; Viridiplantae; Streptophyta; Magnoliopsida; Brassicales; Brassicaceae.
AUUACUAAAACUGUUAAAAGUCUCACAAUGUUUAAAUCUUUUUAUAUAACUGUUAGAUCAAUGUUUAAAUCUUUUUAUAUAAUAAGAUACAAUGAUAAUAAAAUCAUAUAAAUAAAUAAUUUUAUUUUAAUAGGAGUUAUGUAAAUAUAUAUAUACUUCAUAUCGUUUAAAUUUAAUUAUAUAUCAUAUACGAUAGAUAAGAUUGAUUGUUUUGAUUUAUUUAUCUCAAAAUGAUUGCGAAUCAACAGGAGCGGUCAUUUGAUUUAUAAGUGCAAGGCAAUUUAUUACAUAAUAGUAACUAUUUCUUAGUUAUUUAAUAUAUAAUUAUUAUUUUAUUAUUUCAUAAUAUGCAGAAAAAUAUAAAAUAAGUAAUAAAUAUAAAAUAUUUACUCUACACAAGACGCAUAUAUUAACCUAAGUAUGCAUCUUCUUAACAAUUUUGAAUCUUAAACAUUUUCUAGUUCUCAUACCAAAAUAAAAGAAAUAAAUAAGAAUAAACUCAAAAAUCAGUAUUGAUAUCGAGCAAUAACUAAAAUGACACAAAAAGAAGAAAAAUAUCGAAGAUAGAUAGGAUUGACACGUGAACGUAAACUUCUCAUAACCAUAAUUAACUUUUAAAUUGCUAAAUCAUGAUAUAAAACCGAGGUGGCAUAGUUUCAUUGUUACCAAAUAGUAUGCAUGAAAUUCUUCGGCUUAAACGUUAGGUUUUUAUGCAAUAAAUUAUUUUUUGACCUAAAAUAUUUUUAAAAUAGGAUCAGUUCAUUAGUAAACAAAUUAUGUAAUUAACAAAAAAGUUUUUAAAAAUUUGUAUAAAGGCCAAAAAUAUUAAUUUGAUCAAUAAUAUAAAUUUUGUUUUCCAUACGAUAUUUCUUAAAUAAUUUUCAUAUAAAUUUACUUUGCGCAAGGCGCAUGUCUUAUCCUAGUGAAAUAUGAUUAACAAAAACAAUAUUAUGAUGUCAAGUUAUUGAUUGGAAUCAUGAUUAUUUAUAUAUAUGGCAAAUUCAAAUGAUUGUGAUUUCUUUUAAUUUUAAAAUACAUUACCAAAAGAAGAAGCUAGUUAUCAAAUCAUAUUUGCUGUCCUGCAUAAUGAAUUUUCUAGAAGAAAAGUAUGGUAUAAUACUAUAAUGGUAUCAUCUCUAAGACGUAACACGUUAAAUAAAUGAUUUCUUAAAAACGCAAUAAAGGAGACCACCACCAAAAGAAGAAAUGGCCUAUAGGGUUUUCAAAUUUAAUAUUUCUCAUUGAUGACCAUUUAGGAGAUUCUUUGCCAUCAAAACUUGCUGAAUAUGGUAGACUCUUUUGAUUUUUUUUUUCUAUUUUAAAUCUAAGAAACUUAGUUAGAUAUUAACGAUGGAUGCAAGUGCUCUAUAGGCAGGCAUUCUUAUCUUGGAUAAAAACAUCGUAUGUUUUUUUUUGUAACUUAAAACAUCGUAUGUUUCGUCGAGUGUAACCAAAAGAUAGCAAAUUUGAUAAUAACGAUUGUUUUAUGGUGGUUAAUACUAUGCAAUACAUGUCCAAAUUUCUGUUAGUUGUCUAUGGUACGAUUGAGUCGAUACUCUUUGUCGACAAUUUGUGACUUGUAAUUUUACACGUUGAAUUGUUUGUCCGUUUUUACUAUAAUUACUUUUGAGUGAGAAUCCAGUAUCGGAGUGCAUUGUUGUAGUAGGACACAAAUGGCAAUUUUUUCAUCAAUGGUAAGCUUGAUUAAAAAAAAAAAAAUUCCUAGGAUAGCCUUUUUAGUUUAUUUUUACAAAAAUAGUUUUCAACGAAGAAAAUGACCAAAAUAAAUUUUAUUAAAAAGUAAAAAUAUUUGUAUUCAAGGAUUAAUUAAUCUAGACUUAGGGUUUAGAGUUAAGGAUGGAGUCUUGGGAUCGGGUUUCAGGAUUUUAAAAAGAAAAAAUAAAUAUUAAAAUUUUUAAAAUAAAAAAGAUUAUUUUGAUCUUUUUUUUUUUGAAUGCUAUUUUGUAACAAAACUUAAAAUUUGCUAUUCGAGAAAAAAUUGCCCAAAAAACACAAGUGCUUUUUUAGCGAGAAAAAAUACUUGAGUACUCACGUUUCAUAAUCCGAUCUUUGCAACGCCGAUCGUGAUAUAUACAUGUCAUGGUUAUCAAUAAUUUUUAUCCAAGAUGAGAAAAUAAGAAAAAUGUAGUGAGACCCAUGUGUCAGUAAUUUUUAAAAUGUUAACCUAAUUGUUAUUGAGUUUUAGAGACAAUAUGUCUAUCAUACUUUUCCUAAAAUGUGAUCUAAAACCAAGAUUUUUUGUACAAGUGUAUUUGAACCUAAUAUUAGACAAUACUCCCUCCAUUUCUAAAUAGAUGAUGUUUAGGAAGUUUUUGAUGUUUUAAAAUAGAUGAUUUUUUCAUAUAUCAAUGUAUAUUUUAACGUUAUCAAAACUGUGCAACCAAUGAUAUCAUCUUGUACUCGGUUUUGUGACUGGUUGAAUAAUUUUUAGUUUAUAUUUUAAUGAUAUUUAAAAAAAAAAAUUUAAUAGUUAUGCACAAUCCUAGAACUUCAUGUAUUUUGAAACAGAUAGAGUACAUUUUUAGCAAAACAAUAAUAUACUAGAUUUUGAUCCGCGCUUAGAAAAAGCGGAUUUAUUUGUUUUUCAUUUAUAGAUCAAAAACUGAUUUACAAACUACCAUUAUUUUUGUUUUCAACCAUAAUAAUUAAUAAUUGAAUUUUUAGAUUUUUAUCAUUUAUUUAUUUUUCUUCAAAAUACGGUAUUUAUUCGAAAUAUAGUAGUUGUUCUAUAAUAAUGUUUGAGUUUUAAGAUUUGUUUUCAUAUCCGACCUAGAUUCAUGGUUGAGCAUAUAGACCUGAUACAUUGUAUAUAAUCCAGUUCGGAUUUAAUGAAUAAUUUGUUAAUUAUAAAUCCGAUCUUACCCGGUAAAAACCCAAAAACUCACUAUUAACCUGCGAUCUGAUACCAUAUAGUAUUUGAUCCGAUAAAACACAAAAUAUCUGAUAGUAUUUUUUAAAAAUUGAUUAAAUUACUCAUAUAUUUUUUAAUAUUACAUAAAUUAGUGAUUCCUUAGAAUUUGAUGAAAUUUUAUUAUGUUAUCCAAAUAAAAAAUGAUAAUAUAAAAAAAACUUAUUGAUAUGACAAUAUUAUUUUAUUUUCGUUAUUAAUAACCUAUUAUAAGUUUGUGUUUUUAUUUUAGAUUUAAAAACUGAUUUUAAGAUAGUUUUUAAAAUAUUCUUGAACACUCGUAAUUGCCAUAUCAAUAUUAUGUAUAAAAUGAUACUAUACAUGGAAAAAUGAUAUUCAAAAAUGUAUAUGAUAUAUGAUGUAGGAUAUAGGAUUUUGGCUUGUAUUAAAAAUCUGUUUAAUAUUAAGAUGAUCUAUUUUGAAUAUUGAUUCAUAUAAUUAAGAAAAUAAUAUUUUCAUGUUUGUUAAUUUAUUUAUAGUUCAUAAAAUAUUUACACUUAUAUUAAAUUUAAAGUUAGUAUAUCUUUUAAAUAUAUAUAUAAGUUUAUUAUUUAUAGAUCCAUUUAGGUGUAUGUGUUGAUCCAAAACCAAAAGACUUAAAUGAUAUUAAUGAAUUUUAUUAAUUCCUUGUAAAAAUAAGGUAUUUUUGAGAAAACUGUAAUUUUCAUGAAAGGUAUAAUUUGAGAAUGAUCAUUUUUAAUGGUAUUGAUAUUUGACAAAACCUUUGUCCAAAAAAAAGAUAAUAAAUAAAUAUUAGAUAAAACCUUAGGCUUUAAUCACGAUAGCCCAUAGGGGCCCAAUACAAAGGAUCACUACAUAACAUUUACGUUGUCUGGUAAUCAAUGGUGCGAGUGUAAAUCGUUUGGAACUUCUUUCGAAUCUUGAUAAUAAGUUGGGUUCAUGUGUUUAUAUGUUUAGUGGAAACCAGUUUAGGUUUUUAAAGAUGAAAUAGAGAAUAGAAACUCUACAACGUAGUAAUUUCUUAAGAGGCAGUAAGAAUAUUUCUAAUUUUAUAUCUUUUUCUUAUUGACUAUAAAUAAUUUGGGAAUCUCAAAUAGUUAUCGACACAUGCUAAUAGUAAAGUGAUAAACCAUAUCAGGAGAAAUUACUCAAGAAGAUGAGGAAAAAUCUUGUGAUAAAAGAUUCCGAGUCUCAUCAAAUAGAUUUCGCAUGUCGCCUUCUCGGGUCGCAAUCUUCUACAUGUCCGUCUGUCGGCAAAACCUGUCUUUAAUUCAAUGAUCAUACCCGCUUUUAUUUACUUUCGCUGCGUGUAAUACUACUAUUUAUGAUGAUGUAAUAAAAUGAGUUUUGUUGAGACCAGUAAUUAGUUUUUGUAGAAAAAUACAUCGAUUACUAAUAUGGAUAAAAACAUAAACGAGCCACCUUUUUUAUUCACGUGGUCUUUCAUGCGUAUUGCACCUGGAGCCAACGAAAGCUGAUUUGUUCUUCCUCCUCAGUUCUCUCCCUCUUGUUACUUAUUUCGUGCGUCGUCGUUUGUAUAAAGCAAGUUAGAGAUAUCUAAGAUUAUAUAACUAUAUUAUCUUGACUCGCUUUGACGCCGUAGAUCUCAAAUUUAUUAACUCACAGUACUGUGUUCCCCUUUGGCCAACCGAUUCUUCACUUCUUCUUUUUUUAAUUACCGUGCGCACGUAUACCCUUGUAACCUGAACAUUAUACAAUUACCAUGUCUCCGCCGUUGUUGACUUGCUUUUUUAUCUUCAAUUAUAUAGGAUGUGAUUGGAAACACUUUAACAAGAUUAAAAUAUAUUUAAAAAAUACGGAAGAAAAAAUUUUAGAGUAAAUAAUAGUAAACUGAAUAAAUAAAAUAUUUUCUAUACUGAAUUAUUUUACUGUCGCUUUAGCUUUAAAUAAGAGAGUAAGAAGUUAACAUUUAAACCAGAAAUAUAAAACUAUAUAACAUUUUUUAUGUGAUGGUGAAAAGAGUAACUGAAAAUAAAACAUUAUUUCUCAACCCCAACAAAAACAAUUACAUCGUUAUGUAUUAUAGAUUUAUAACGUAUAUAUACUUAAGUAUAUAUAUAUAUAUAUAUAUUGGGAAACGACAUUUGGAGAUGUGAAUGUGAAGUUCACAUGGGUAUAGUUUGUUUCAGAUUUCUGCGUAGAUUCCAUGAACUGGCAAAAUAAUCAGUUACAGGAAAUAAAAUAAAAUAAAAUAUAAUUUGUAAUGUUGGAUUUUUCCAUAUGUGUUCUAUUAAAUGAAUAAUGUUUUUUAUAUUUAAUGUUCUUACUAAAACAAUUUAUAGCAUUUCCUCUCUAAACAAACGUGACCUGCACAGUAGUAAUGACCAAGUAAAAUUACUCGUCUCCUUUUUUUUUUGAACUACCAAAUUACUCGUCUCCUUUAACUUUUAUUUUUAAGCCUUUUUGAAAACGGUUGAUAAAAAGUUUUUUUUUUAUAACAGUUUAAAUUGUGUUAAUUAAUGAUACUUUUAACAUCAUUGUAUGAUACUUUCCUAUUGUAUUACUUUUGAGUGGUGUAUUAGUAAUUUCAUUUUGGUUAGUUUCAAUUGUUUGUAAAUGGAAGUGGCACAUGACAUGGAGGUAGAGCGUGCCGUUCACCCUCCGGAACGACGGUGGUCAAGUAAAGGUGCUCACUUUCAUGCUUAGACGACACGUACGCAAUUUCCAGACUGUCUAUAGUUAUCUUUUAUUGACGCGACAUCUUCUUCGUGGGCAACACGCGCUGCCGUCUUCUGUUUUAUUUAUAUUUAGUUAUUAAUCAAUUUGUCCUCCCAAAAUAUAUAGUUACUUAUCCAAAGCCUAAAGGUGACUUUGCUUUUGAUUUCGUAGCUAUUAGCUAAUUAACUCUUAAACUUUCCUAAUAGUAUAAUCAUAAAUAUAUAAAAUUAAUGUAUAUUUUUCUUAUAACAUCAUUUUGGCCUUGUAAUAUGUCAAUGAUUAGAUUCUUAUGUCUUGAAUUCAACAUGUUGUCUUUUUAAUAAGAACUAAAAUUUUAUAAUAUUCUUUUAAAAUAAGAAACCUUAAUUUUUGUAAUUUUUUGCUUUUGAUUUACCAAAUGUCUAAAAUAAUUCAAAAUUUACACCACAGCGAAAAUACAUUGGAUAAGCUGAGAAAUAAGAAUGAAUAUCUUUUGUUUGCACAUAAUGAAUAGGAAUUUUGUACUAGAUAGCAAAAUUGUAGACGUAAAUUAGGUAACAGGUAAAGUGACUGUGCAUUUUGCAGUAAUACCUAAAAUGUCUCUAUAAACAUAACAAAAUUAAAUAGAACGACCACUGACACGUAUGAAGCAAAAGAAUGACGAGACUGUUGUACAUAUCGAAAGUAUCAAUAAUGCAAACAAUCUUGAAACUUCUGAUAAUGCAAAGAAUCGGAAAUUCACUUAUGUAGAUAUGCACCCUACUGUCAUAUAUCCGGUUAAUAAUAGUAAAACCCGGAUUAGAUAAAUGUAAUCAUGCUAUAAUUGCAGCCUAUUGACACAUAUACGCGUAUCUCUAGCUCUUGCCUUCUUUAAUAAGAUACUUCUAACAUUUAAGCUCCGUUAUUUGACAGGGAACCGACACCAUCUCCCAACAUGGAUAGUAUUUUGAUUGAUAUAUCAAGAUGAACAGGAUGUCAUGGUCCUAUGGCGUCGAGCACUGCUCAUAUCACUUUCAGCGCAUGAAACAACAUGUUGUAAAAUAUCUUCCUAUCAAUUACAUUUCUGACAAACAAUUUGUAAAAUAUCUCACAACUCUUCUCUCUUCAAUUAUUAGAGCUAUAUCCGAUUUCAAUAUCUUAUAUCAUCAUUUUAAAUGAAUGUAUCUGGUUUCGAAACGUUGAUUGCGUUUGGAAACAGUUGCAAUACAAUAUAAUUUUUUUAGCAUCAGCUCCGGUAGCAGAUAACACAUAUGUAACGAAGAAAUUGUGGCUAGAAGAGAGAAUUGACAACUCAGGGCAAAAUUAACAUAGUUCCCCAAUUAUUUAAAAAAAAUCAAUACUUCUAUAAUUACCUCCUCCAAUUUGCGUAUUUCUAGCUAAAUAGGCCUAAUGAAUAAUCCUAAUUCUGGUAUUCAUGCAAUUUAGGUGCCCCUACCAACUAUGAGUGCCUUCCUGCCACCUCAUAUCGAUUGAUGGGCAAUUCACAUAUAUGUUUGUACAAUUACAUUUUUGGUAACUCUAUUUUAUUAAGUUAUUUAUAUAUGUUCUGCAAGAAUAAUUUGUUAUGACAGAUGAUUUGAUACCACAUUCAUUUUCUGUCUUCCACCACCAGAAGAAAAAUCAAAGGGCGAACUUGAUUGCAAAUUAUACACAGUCAAAUCUCACCACAUUACAUAACACUAGUAUUACAGAAAAAAAACACAACCCUUGAUAAGAAGAUUUCACAAAUUUAAGCAUUUCCAUUCGAAAAGAAAAUGUAUACAUACUAUUAUUCAUCGGGCGUUUACAUUUGCGAGAAUAUAUUUACGUUUUCGGGGGAAAAAAUCCAUAUAUAGACGAACCUUCAAAAUCAUGUGAGAAUAAUUAGUUUUAUUAAUGUAAUAAUGCACUGAUUGUCGAAUCAGAAUGAAGGAAUUUUAAUUUAUAACUUGUUAUUUCCAGUCACUAAUAAUAUCAUCUUAUCUUAAAAAUUAAAGAAUCGUGUUUACGCAUUAAACAUAGGUAUAUAGCGUAACCACCACUUUUCUGUCUGUUGUUGUACGUACAUUUUGAUUACUACUCUUCCGUUGAAUAUAGUUCUAUAAAAGUUCAAAAUAUAGCAACUAUAAUGUAGUGUUCAAGUAGAAUAGCGUAGUAAAAAAAAAAAAAUUGUUUUGAGAAAUGAAAAUGCAUCUGGCUAUAUAUCCGCUCGGUAACGUUAUGCAAAAAAAUAUAUGUUGUCAUCAGUUCUUCUAAUUAUCGUUUAGUUAGAACCUAAGGUGUGUAAGAAAUGGAAGAUGAUAGUGAUAGAUAAAUCACAUGUAUCCGAAUCAAAAAUAUAAUUAAUACGUAGUUGGCAAAGAACUAAAAAAAACUAUUACAGAACGUAUACUAUGAUUUAAUAGUGUGAUUCACAAAGAUUUGGUGGUCGAUGUGCACAUAAAAAACUUAAAUGUAAAUUAUGUUUAUGCCACCGUGUAAGUUGUAACAUAUAACUAAACGUCUAAUUAAUCAGAGUAUAGGCCCACUCAGUGAGUAAUUGAUUUGUAUCAUUUUACUUUACUUUUAUUCAUUAUACUUCUAUGUUUUUACUGUUUUUCAUUUUACUUACUCAUUCCUUUAUUAAUAAGCGAUGUGAAACCAUAAUUUUCUAAGGAAUUACAUAAACAUAAAUAUAUAUUCUCUCCGUUUCAUAUUGUAAGUAGUUUUAGAAAAAAAAAUUAUUUUAAAAUGUAAGUACUUUUAAUAUUUCUAGAUAAUUUUUACAUUAUAACCAAUCAAAUUAAAUAAAUUUAUUUUUGAUUGGUUAAGUUAUAUCUAACCUAUUUAUUAUAUCAUAUUUUUAAAAAUAUAAUAUCUUUUUAAUCUUUGUGCUUUUAACCAAACAGCUUACAUUAUAAAAGAGUACAUUUUUUUAUCAAAUUUUUUUUUGAUCAAAUCAUAAAAAUAUAUGUUUAACCGUUUAAUGUUGUCUUAAAAGAUUGGAAUAUAAUUUAGGUGAUCCUCCUGAUCAUAAUUAUAUAAUUAAUAAUAUUAUGAGUAAAUUUCACAAUGGAAAGUAUUAACAAAAAUGUGAACCAAAUAAAAAUAGCAAGAAAGUGACGUAACAUCACAUUAUAACAUGUAACCAUCAAAGUUAGAAAGGAUAGAGAUCAAAAAUAAAAAAGGACGAACAAAAGAAAAAGGAAUCCGUAAAAACGGCCGUCAACGGAAGCAGACUCAGGGCCUACGGGUUAGAUCUUAGUAAAUAGGACACGUGUAUGAAUCACAUGGAUAGUAGGGACCACAAAUUCGAACGGCGUACAUUUACUGAAAGCAAUACCCUUCGAUGGAUUAUGGGUCCACUACACGUGGAGCCAUCACGUGCUGUCAGUUCGUGUUUCCCGAAGGGUACGAAUAUUUAUUUAAUAAAUUCUAUUUUUAACAUCUGAUAUUGAAGCAGGCCGUUAAUGACGGCGUUAAGCAAUGACUUAGACACUGACGGACGUGGCCGUUAUGCUUAAAACCGGGUUUCCUCGUCGCUCAAUGUGUAGUUAAAAUUGUCAAUUGCUCGAGCGAUAAUAGUGAAAAUUUACUUUAUUUAAUUACCACGGAAAUAAUUUGCAUUACUAGCAAAACGUGAUUUAAAGGCGGUUCAAAUUAGUAAUGGUUCAAACUACCAUUGUUUUUAACCCGGGAAUACCCGAGUCAUAUGGAACUAAUUGCAAGUAGUUAUAAAAUUAGAGGCUCCCUAUUUAUAUUAUUGAACCUUUAGACAAAAUGUUAUGGAUUACAUAUGUUUAUGUGUAUUUAUAUAUUAUACAGUUUUUUGUUAUCUUCCUAAGUUCACAAUGCUAGUUAUAUUAUGUUUAGUCUUUGACAGUAAAAGUAGAUUAGCAUGUUCACUAAACUAAAAUAGGUCUAACUAGACCUUUUCAUGUUCGAUAAAGAAAAAAGAUCCAAGAUGAUGAUUUUAUUCAAAACCUAAUUAGUUUUGUCGAAUCUUUAACGGGAGGAUCCGUGAGUGAUCGCUAUUUUAUUUGUACACAUCUCGAAAAUUAGAGAAUAUAUAUAGGCCUAAUUCUUAAAUAACUAAAACGACUCGAAAAUUAAAACGCAUGGGUCCGAUGAUUUUUCAAAACCCAAUUGCAGAAUAUUUCCAUCGAUUCAUUAAGUUAGAUAAUCUU